Molecule: long non-coding RNA, 386 nt
Organism: Mustela lutreola (European mink)
Lineage: Eukaryota; Metazoa; Chordata; Mammalia; Carnivora; Mustelidae
Exons: 2
Source: RefSeq, a predicted model, not a curated record
CAGAUACUGGUGCUUUGUCCGAUACAUGAUUUGUAGUUUGACUCUUCCUACGAUGUUCUGCAGAGAAGAUUUUUCUGAUGAAGCCAAUUUAGCAAAUUUUCCUCUCUUGGGGUUGUGAUUUGGAUGUCAACUUGGAACAGGAUGGCUGUGCACACUGAGAUAGACGCCGAGUUCUACAGAGAGCUGCCUGGAGAUGAAACACCUUUUGAUGAAUUCCCCACCCCAUGCCCCAAUUUACACUGUUACCCAAGCCUGCAAACUGUGUACUUGAAGAAACACUCUCCUUCUCUCCCUGAUUGAAACCUCCUUAUUUUUCUUGCCAUUGUUUUUGAAUCUGUUUCAUACUUUUGUGAAAAUAAAGAGAUCUGUUUGCUGGGGGAAAAAAA